This 252-nucleotide ribosomal RNA is filed under the name uncultured bacterium. RNAcentral's name for it is "partial 16S ribosomal RNA". It matches the Rfam family "Bacterial small subunit ribosomal RNA", at positions 525 to 776 of the family's 1533-position model. The record is from RNAcentral.
ACGGAGGGUGCAAGCGUUGUUCGGAAUUAUUGGGCGUAAAGAGCGUGUAGGCGGUUCGGUAAGUCAGAUGUGAAAGCCCUGGGCUCAACCCAGGAAGUGCAUUUGAAACUACCAGACUUGAGUACGGGAGAGGAGGGGGGAAUUCCCGGUGUAGAGGUGAAAUUCGUAGAUAUCGGGAGGAAUACCAGUGGCGAAGGCGCCCCUCUGGACCGAUACUGACGCUGAGACGCGAAAGCGUGGGGAGCAAACAGG